AGAUUGUCGCCGCCGACGCAAGCUCGAUCACCAUGCGCCCUUCUCCGCUACCGACCAUCGCCGGCUGCGCCACGUCGCCCCAGUCGUGAGUAUCUCCAUCAACUGCGGCGCCCGUCGGUUCGUGCAAACCUCUGAUCCGUUCCUUCCUUUGGUGAACAAGGAAGAGGAGCACGAUAACGAGAGGAAGACAGAAGCUAAGCAGAGAAGCAAGAGAGCAUCGGAGACAAAGAAGAAGACCAAGAGAGCGGAAGCAAAGAAGCUGUCACCCGAUGCUUAUGGAUUCAUCAUCUCUUCUUCCAUUGAUAGCGAGAACCAACUCGAUCUCUUAAGCAGUGAUGAAGAAGAGGAAGAAUCGGCGACUCUGCUAUCAUCCAAUAGCUUCUCCUCCGACUCCUCCGA
Molecule: long non-coding RNA, 399 nt
Filed under: Musa acuminata (dwarf banana)
Lineage: Eukaryota; Viridiplantae; Streptophyta; Magnoliopsida; Zingiberales; Musaceae
Description: long non-coding RNA (MACU_LNC002482)
Source: RNAcentral